This 305-nucleotide ribosomal RNA is filed under the name uncultured bacterium. RNAcentral's name for it is "bacterial SSU rRNA". It matches the Rfam family "Bacterial small subunit ribosomal RNA", at positions 334 to 655 of the family's 1533-position model. The record is from RNAcentral.
UGCUCCUACGGGACGCAGCAGUCGGGAAUAUUGCGCAAUGGAGGAAACUCUGACGCAGUGACGCCGCGUAUAGGAAGAAGGUUUUCGGAUUGUAAACUAUUGUCGUUAGGGAAGAUAGAAGACAGUACCUAAGGAGGAAGCUCCGGCUAACUACGUGCCAGCAGCCGCGGUAAUACGUAGGGAGCAAGCGUUAUCCGGAUUUAUUGGGUGUAAAGGGUGCGUAGACGGGAAAUUAAGUUAGUUGUGAAAUCCCUCGGCUCAACUGAGGAACUGCAACUAAAACUGAUUUUCUUGAGACCGUUAGG